CGGGGUAUAGCGCAGUCCGGUAGCGGGCCUGCUUUGGGAGCAGGAUGUCAGGAGUUCGAAUCCCCUUACCCCGACCA
RNAcentral lists this transfer RNA (77 nucleotides) under Pseudomonas syringae. RNAcentral describes it as "tRNA-Pro". It matches the Rfam family "tRNA". Rfam says of the family: Transfer RNA (tRNA) molecules are approximately 80 nucleotides in length. Their secondary structure includes four short double-helical elements and three loops (D, anti-codon, and T loops). Further hydrogen bonds mediate the characteristic L-shaped molecular structure. tRNAs have two regions of fundamental functional importance: the anti-codon, which is responsible for specific mRNA codon recognition, and the 3' end, to which the tRNAs corresponding amino acid is attached (by aminoacyl-tRNA synthetases). tRNAs cope with the degeneracy of the genetic code in two manners: having more than one tRNA (with a specific anti-codon) for a particular amino acid; and 'wobble' base-pairing, i.e. permitting non-standard base-pairing at the 3rd anti-codon position. The record is from RNAcentral. Lineage: Bacteria; Pseudomonadati; Pseudomonadota; Gammaproteobacteria; Pseudomonadales; Pseudomonadaceae.